GGAUCAAUGCGUCGGUCGUGCCUUCGGUACGUACUGGCGUCAUCGAUUCCUCCCUUCUGAAGAACCGUGAUGUCAUUAAUUUGAUGUCGUGGAGAAUCAGGACUGUUACUUUGAAAAAAUUAGAGUGUUUAAAGCAGGCAUUAGCUUGAAUACAUUAGCAUGGAAUAAUGAAAUAGGACGUUUGAUCCUAUUUUGUUGGUUUCUAGGAUUGACGUA
This 216-nucleotide ribosomal RNA is filed under the name Campeiostachys nutans. Its description in RNAcentral is "Elymus nutans partial small subunit ribosomal RNA". The stretch from base 40 to 216 matches the Rfam family "Eukaryotic small subunit ribosomal RNA", at positions 686 to 864 of the family's 1831-position model. The record is from RNAcentral. Lineage: Eukaryota; Viridiplantae; Streptophyta; Magnoliopsida; Poales; Poaceae.